Molecule: unclassified non-coding RNA, 425 nt
Filed under: Hevea brasiliensis (rubber tree)
Lineage: Eukaryota; Viridiplantae; Streptophyta; Magnoliopsida; Malpighiales; Euphorbiaceae
Source: RNAcentral
UCCAAACGGAGGAGGAAAAAGCUUCACAAGUUCUCUUUCCGUGCUUGUGUAUUUCCCACUAAUGGCACUGGUAAUUCAACCAGGCUUCAUACACGAGCGCGAACCCUUCUUCUCAAACAAAUUGUUAAUGAAUUGGAGACCGAACAUGAGAUUUCGGAUGAAUCAGCUUCCUCAUCAUCUUCGUCGUCUAUCCAAAUGGGCUCAAAUUUCACUGGUUUCCAAGAAGAUCCUAUGCUAGACAAGUUAAGAACUCAAUUGGGAGUCAUACACCCAAUUCCAUCUCCUCCAAUUAAUCGAAAUAUUUUUGGGUUAUUUGUCUUUUUCUUCUUUGUUGGGGUAGUUUUUGAUAAGCUAUGGACUUCUAGGAAGAUGGCCAAGAUGGUCGGCGGAGGCGAGCAGCGUGGGCCGUGGCCGCAAGUUCCCAC